CAUUAAGUUGAGCACUCUAGUGAGAUUGCCCGGGUUAACCGGGAGGAAGGUGGGGAUGACGUCAAAUCAUCUAAGUAGCGGCGAGCGAAAGGGAAAGAGCCCAAACCAGGAACUUGUUCCUGGGGUUGCGGAUAGACCAUAAAUACUGCGAUUUUUUAACUGAAGAGAGCUGGAAGGCUCCGCCGUAGAAGGUAAAAGCCCUGUAAGUGAAAAGGAAGAGCAGUCAGGUCUAAUCCAGAGUAUCACGAGACACGUGAAACCUUGUGGGAAGCAGGGAGGACCACCUCCCACGGCUAAAUACUAACUGGUGACCGAUAGUGAAGCAGUACCGUGAGGGAAAGGUGAAAAGAACCCCGGAAGGGGAGUGAAAUAGAACCUGAAACUGUGUGUCCACAAUCAGUCGAAGCACUUUUAUGUGCGACGGCGUGCUUUUUGUAGAACGAGCCAGCGAGUUACGAUGUGUAGCAAGGUUAAAUACUUAAGGUAUGGAGCCGAAGGGAAACCGAGUCUGAAUAGGGCGAUGAUGCUCAACUUUGUUGAGCGAACCCAGCGAAGUUCUGGGAAAGUUGCAUGUCGUAGACACGAAACCGGGUGACCUAUCCAUGGACAGGUUGAAGCGGAAGUAAAAUUCCGUGGAGGACCGAACCAUGUUGGUGUUGAAAAACCAUGGGAUGAGCUGUGGAUAGCGGAGAAAUUCCAAUCGAACUCGGAGAUAGCUGGUUCUCCUCGAAAUAGCUUUAGGGCUAGCGUUUUGAAUGAGUAAUGGAGGUAGAGCACUGAAUGGGCUAGGGGCUGACAACAGUUACUGAACCCUAUCAAACUCCGAAUGCCAUAUACUUGAAUCAAAGCAGUCAGACUACGAAUGAUAAGAUCCGUGGUCAAAAGGGAAACAACCAUAACUCUUAACUAUUAAUUCUUAACUCUCAACUAAAUAAAAUCUGGUGAUUAUGACGUAAAGGUAACACCCGUACCCAUUCCGAACACGAAGGUUAAGCUUUACAGUGCUGAUGGUACUGCACGGGAGACUGUGUGGAAGAGUAAGUCGUCGCCAGGUAAGUAACAGGAAGACACUAGGUUUUGACACCUAGUGUU
RNAcentral lists this non-coding RNA (1092 nucleotides) under Clostridium magnum DSM 2767. Lineage: Bacteria; Bacillati; Bacillota; Clostridia; Eubacteriales; Clostridiaceae. The record is from RNAcentral.